This 1990-nucleotide ribosomal RNA is filed under the name human gut metagenome. Its description in RNAcentral is "bacterial LSU rRNA". It matches the Rfam family "Bacterial large subunit ribosomal RNA", at positions 14 to 2027 of the family's 2925-position model. The record is from RNAcentral.
AGGGUGCAGGGCGGAUGCCUUGGCACUAGGAGCCGAUGAAGGACGUGAUAAGCUGCGAUAAGCUUCGGGGAGUUGCACGUAAACUUUGAUCCGAAGAUUUCCGAAUGAGGAAACUCACUUAGAGUAAUGUCUAAGUAUCGUUAAGUGAAUACAUAGCUUAGCGAGGGGAACCCGGGGAACUGAAACAUCUAAGUACCCGGAGGAAGAGAAAGAAAUUCGAUUCCGUAAGUAGCGGCGAGCGAACGCGGAACAGGCCAAACCAAUGAAGUUUACUUCGUUGGGGUUGCGGACAUACAACAUGGAUGCAAUAUCGUAAAUGAAGAGAGUUGGAAAGCUCCGCCAUAGAAGGUAAUAGCCCUGUAGUUGAAACGAGAAAGCUACUAGUAUGAUCCAGAGUACCACGGGACACGUGAAACCCUGUGGGAAGCAGGAGGGACCAUCCUCCAAGCCUAAAUACUACCUAGUGACCGAUAGCGUAUAGUACCGUGAGGGAAAGGUGAAAAGAACCCCGGGAGGGGAGUGAAAUAGAACCUGAAACCCUGCACUUACAAGCUGUGGGAGCACAUUACUUGUGUGACCGCGUACUUUUUGUAGAACGGGCCAACGAGUUACGUUAAGUAGCAAGGUUAAGCACUUAAGGUGUGGAGCCGUAGCGAAAGCGAGUCUUAAAUGGGCGAUUAAGUUACUUGGCGUAGACCCGAAACCGGGCGACCUAUCCAUGAGCAGGUUGAAGCGAAAGUAAAAUUUCGUGGAGGACCGAACCCACGAGCGUUGAAAAGCUCGGGGAUGACUUGUGGAUAGCGGUGAAAUUCCAAUCGAGCCCGGAGAUAGCUGGUUCUCCCCGAAAUAGCUUUAGGGCUAGCCUCAAGCGUAGAGAAACGGAGGUAGAGCACUGAAUGUCCUAGGGGGUAUUGCACUUACCGAAGACUAUCAAACUCCGAAUGCCGUUUUCUUUUACUUGGGAGUCAGACUGUGGGUGAUAAGAUUCAUAGUCAAAAGGGCAACAGCCCAGAUCGUCAGCUAAGGUCCCUAAAUGUACGUUAAGUGGUAAAGGAUGUGGGAUUGCACAGACAACCAGGAUGUUGGCUUAGAAGCAGCCACUCAUUUAAAGAGUGCGUAAUAGCUCACUGGUCGAGUGAUCCUGCGCCGAAAAUUUCCGGGGCUAAAACGUACUACCGAAGCUACGGCAUCAUUUAUGAUGGGUAGGGGAGCUUCGUAUGCAGGCUGAAGCAUGACCGUAAGGACAUGUGGACAGUAUACGAGUGAGAAUGUUGGCAUGAGUAGCGAGACGUGGGUGAGAAUCCCACGGGCCGUAAACCCAAGGUUUCCAGGGGAAGGUUCGUCCGCCCUGGGUUAGUCGGGACCUAAGCCGAGGCCGAAAGGCGUAGGUGAUGGACAACAGGUUGAUAUUCCUGUACCGCCAAUAAGCGUUUGAGAGAUGGAGUGACACAGUAGGAUAAGCUAACCGUACUGUUGGUUAUGUACGGCUAAGCAUUGAGGCAGUCUAAAUAGGCAAAUCCGUUUAGACAAUGCUAGGAUGUGAUGGGGAAGCCCUUCGGGGCGAAGUAGCUGAUUUCACACUGUCAAGAAAAGCUUCUAUCGAGUUUAAAGGCGCCCGUACCGUAAACCGACACAGGUGGGUGAGGAGAGUAUCCUAAGGCCAGCGAGAGAACUAUUGUUAAGGAACUCGGCAAAAUGACCCCGUAACUUAGGGAGAAGGGGUGCCUGUCUAUGACAGGCCGCAGAGAAUAGGCCCAAGCGACUGUUUACCAAAAACACAGGUUUCUGCUAAGUCGCAAGACGAUGUAUAGGAGCUGACGCCUGCCCGGUGCUGGAAGGUUAAGGGGAUCUGUUAGAGCAAUCGAAGCAGUGAACUUAAGCCCCAGUAAACGGCGGCCGUAACUAUAACGGUCCUAAGGUAGCGAAAUUCCUUGUCGGGUAAGUUCCGACCCGCACGAAAGGCGUAACGAUUUGGGCACUGUCUCAACAA